GGGCAUUUGGUCUAGUGGUAUGAUUCUCGCUUUAUAUACGAGAGGUCUUGAGUUCUAUUCUCAGAAUGCCUC
RNAcentral lists this transfer RNA (72 nucleotides) under Morus notabilis. It matches the Rfam family "tRNA". Rfam says of the family: Transfer RNA (tRNA) molecules are approximately 80 nucleotides in length. The record is from Rfam by way of RNAcentral. Lineage: Eukaryota; Viridiplantae; Streptophyta; Magnoliopsida; Rosales; Moraceae.